This 92-nucleotide small nucleolar RNA is filed under the name Bos indicus x Bos taurus (hybrid cattle). Its description in RNAcentral is "Small nucleolar RNA SNORD116 (ENSBIXG00005005142.1)". It matches the Rfam family "Small nucleolar RNA SNORD116". From Rfam's summary of the family: HBII-85 is a member of the C/D class of snoRNAs, which contain the C (UGAUGA) and D (CUGA) box motifs. HBII-85 is encoded in a tandemly repeated array with another C/D snoRNA, HBII-52, in the Prader-Willi syndrome (PWS) region of chromosome 15. Unlike most other snoRNAs, HBII-85 is expressed prevalently in the brain (but is absent in PWS patients) and lacks any significant complementarity with ribosomal RNA. The record is from RNAcentral. Lineage: Eukaryota; Metazoa; Chordata; Mammalia; Artiodactyla; Bovidae.
GGAUCGAUGAUGACACCCUCACAUGCAUUCCUUGGAAAAUCUGAACAAAUGAGUGAGAACUCACUACCGUCCUCCUCAUCGAACUGAGGUCC